GGAGAAGCACUUGAAGAUGAAAGCAAAGAGGAAAAUUGUGGAUAUGCCUGGAAACGGUGACGUACCAUUCACGCACGCGAAUAUUAGCUUAGCCCGAAGAGAACUCGGAUAUAAACCGACUACUGAUUUGCAAACCGGAUUGAAGAAGUUUGUUAAAUGGUAUCUCUCGUUUUACGGCUACAAUCACGGGAAAGUUGUAAAUUAAGUGGAUUGUUCUUUUAAUCUUUUUUUUUUUUCAAUUUAAAAAAAAAAUGGGAAAAGAGAAUCUUGGGAGCUAAAAAGAUAGGGAAAAUGAUAUAAAGAAAAAAAAAAAACACAUUAUUCUU
RNAcentral lists this unclassified non-coding RNA (326 nucleotides) under Hevea brasiliensis (rubber tree). The record is from RNAcentral. Lineage: Eukaryota; Viridiplantae; Streptophyta; Magnoliopsida; Malpighiales; Euphorbiaceae.